Molecule: ribosomal RNA, 2913 nt
Filed under: Triticum aestivum (bread wheat)
Lineage: Eukaryota; Viridiplantae; Streptophyta; Magnoliopsida; Poales; Poaceae
Description: partial small subunit ribosomal RNA
Source: RNAcentral
AUGGGGCGCAAAAGUGACCUGGCUGACCAGCUGCAGGAGGAUGGCACGAGUGCUGUUGCUGAUGAAUAUGAAGAAUGCAGUGAAGAAGAAGAACCAUUUGAACGUGAAUUCUACGAUGAUGACGAUGAUGACGACGACAAUGUGGGUGAGCCAGAAACAAAAGCUGCGGAUCCUUGUGAAGAUCCUUUGGCAGAAGAAGAGGAGGCUAAUGGAGAGGAACCUUGCGAUGGUGCCACCCCACUUGAAGAUGAGGAUGCCAGUUACGAUGAACCUUUUGUUGAUGAACUCUGUUAUGAAGAAGACAGUGGCGAGCAGGACUCGUAUUAUGCGGAGCCUUUCACGGAUCAGCUCUGUGAAGUGGAGCCAUGUGAUGUUGAGGUGGCUCGCGAGGAGGAAUUUGGGAGGAAGUACUGUCCUGUUCAGGCUAUCAAGAAGGAACAAAAUGAGGAAGAGGUCCUAAAACGGACACUGAGAAAGGGCAGCAGCCAUGAGCACAAGGCGGUACCAGUGACUGAUGAAAUCGAAUUGAAGCCGUUCAAGAAACGAUUGUCUGUCAGGUUUGCUACUGAUGUAUCUUGUUACACAUACAGUACUGAAAGUUUUGGUGCUGCCAAGUUGGAGAAAAGGAAAGCUCUGUUUGAUGACCAGGACAGCCACUUGUGUAAGAGGCAAGAACACACAGUUUCUUUGUCUCAGGACAGUGUCACGCUGAAAGAAGUGGAUGACACUAACCUGUAUGUGGGUAACCUGCCAACUUCUGUGACUUCUCACAAGCUCAUCGAGCUAUUUCUACCUUUUGGACGAAUCGUUCGAUCAAAAGUGGCGGAUGAUCGUUUCACUGGUUUAAGCCAGGGAUAUGGCUUUGUGAAGUAUGCUGAACCUCGUAGUGCCACAGCAGCUAUUGAACGCAUGAAUGGGCGCCUGGUUGAUGGGAAAACAUUAGAGGUUAGGGUAGCUGGACCUCCAACAUCAGUAUUCUAUCCAUCCAUGCAAGCUGUGUCAGAAGCUUGCAGUCUGCCAUCAAAGGAAGUUGACCCGUGUAGGCUGUAUGUAUGCAACCUCCCCUUAUCCAUGGACACUCUGAAGCUACUCGAGCAUUUUCUGCCUUUCGGGAAAGUAACUGAUAUAAAGGUACCCAGGGAUCAAGCCACAGGUUUAAGCAAAGGAUAUGGCUUUGUGAAGUACUCUGAUUCUCAUCAUGCAGCUCAGGCCAUCACCAAUUUGAAUGGGUUUCUGGUUGAGGGUAAAAAGAUAGAUGUUCGAGUGGCUGAGGUCUCUUCAACCAGAACCAUCAAGGAAAUCGACAUGGCGAAUCUAUAUGUCUGCAACAUUCCUGCAUCCAUUGACACAGAUAAGCUGGUUGCGCUUUUCUCGCCAUUUGGUAAGAUUACCCAUGCGAGAGUGGCUGCGGACCAAGGCUAUGGCUUUGUCAAAUUUGCCGAUUCUCAAUGUGCUGCCGAGGCUAUUGCACUAAUGAAUGGAUCACUGGUUGAAGGGGAAACUCUAAUUGUCAGAGUCGCAGGCCUUUCACCACUUGCAUCCAGCUCAGUUGUACAAGGCUCACCAAUUCCCUCGCUAGAAAUGAAGAAAUCUAGACUGUACGUCACUAACCUUCCGCGGUCGAUGAACGCUGAUAAGCUGGUUGAGCUUUUUAUGCCCUUUGGUAAGAUCAGCAAGGUUGUGAUCAAUCUGGAGUAUAGCCUAGUGUACUAUGCAGAUUCAGCAUCAGUGACCACGGCUGUUGAACACAUGGAUGGGUACCUGAUUGGUGGAAAGAGUCUAGUAGUCAGGCGAUCAGACUCUUGUCCAACCGCUGCAGCAGGGCAUGCUCCUUUAUCAUCACAGUCAGCUGGUGGCAAGCCCACAAGAGAAAUUGACAUGGCCAACUUGUAUGUUGGUGGCAUCCCACCAACAGUAACCGACAAUCAGUUGGUCGAGCUUUUCCGGCCAUUUGGACAAAUUGUGCAAUCUAGGAUGUUUCUUGGGUAUGGCAUGGUGAGGUACAGCGAUCCUUCAUCUGCUGCUGCUGCAAUCGAUCGAAUGGACGGUUACCAAAUCGGAGCAAGUACCCUGGCUGUGAGAGUAGCAGGCCUUCCUAAUAUAAUGCCUCGGGCGGAUUGUCUAACAGCACCGCAGGCGCCUCCUGGCAAUGAGCAGAAAGAGGUAGACUUGACCAACCUAUAUGUAGGCCAUCUCCCGCUCUAUAUCACCACAGAAAGGCUGACCGAGAUCUUUCUGCCAUGCGGCCAAAUCACUCAAGCAAAGGUAGUCGUUGACCGGUACACCGGAGUGAGCAAGGGAUUCGGAUUCGUCAAAUUCGCCGAUACUUAUGCUGCUGCUGCGGCUCUGAGUUACAUGAACGGUUACCUGCUGGAGGGGCACAUCUUGGCCGUCAGAAUAGCCAAUGUUCAUCCGAGUGAUAUGGGCAGCUACAUGGCGCGUCUCUACUCCCAGUUCAAAGUCCCUGACCCCUCUACCAUGGCGGUUGGAGUGCCAACAUCGUCGUAUUGGCCACCGUGCUAUUCUGCUGAAUCAGCUUACGCAGAGAAUUAUCGGGGGCAGGGAACUGAUGCUGCUGCUUCUCAAACGUCUCAGCUGCCUGAAUCUGUGUCAGCCAGUUCAUCAUUUGCUGCUGAAAGGGAUUGGUCUCCUGUGUCAAGCCAUGUCGCCGACAGCUCUCAGCAGCAGCCUUCAGCAGGCUGGGCCGGUCCGCCUGGCUUCGAGCCCCUCCAUGCGCAUGCGGCAGUCUCUCCUCCUCCGCCAGUGGUACCUUGGGCUGGCCCGCCAGGCUUUGAGCCCCAUUCCAUCCCCAAGAAGAAAGAUGGCGCCACCGCGACAAAACCUUCCCAGCCUUGCUCCAAGGUCCAUCUGGCAGAGUCAGGAGGCAGCCAGAAAAGGCGUUCCAUCGUCUAG